This is an RNA transcript of Melanotaenia boesemani (Boeseman's rainbowfish), 1431 nucleotides long. It is a transcript of the gene named coagulation factor XIII B chain-like, with no coding region annotated. The transcript is spliced from 9 exons. NCBI's taxonomy places the organism in Eukaryota, Metazoa, Chordata, Actinopteri, Atheriniformes, Melanotaeniidae. The record is from RefSeq and is a predicted model, not a curated record.
UCAUCUAUAUCCAUUACAGAACUAAAGUAGAUCUCAUGGAGGACCAUGUAGAUGGUAAUUACAGACUAAAAUGGAAGCUAAAAAAGACACUACAUGACCGCAAAGUAAAUAUCCACAGUUACCAGACUAAUAUCUUUUGUUGUUUUGAUGUAAAACUGGUUUGGCUAACUUUGAUAGAAGUAAAUAGAAAUAAAUGUAAAAUCUGGCCAGUAAAAGCUCACAUGGGUUUAGUAAAAUAUUUUGACUUCUGCACAAGUACAUUUAAAGUUCAUGGCAAUGUUUACUUUUUCGUCACAACUUAUCUCUUUCAGUAAAUUCCAACAAUUAUUAACUGAUCUAGUUAUGAAAAGGCUCUGAGCUCUGCUUUCUUGUAGUGAUUUCAUUCUCAGCAUCAUGUGGGUGAGGUGUCUUGGAUUUGCUCUCCUGGUUUGCAUUCCUCUAGUGCUGCAUGCUCAAAGUGCAGGACAGCCAUGUAGUGCUCCGAGCCUGAAUGGUGGUUAUUACCUCCCUCAGCAGGAAUCUUAUCCUCUUGAAACGAAGAUCAGUUAUACGUGUGAUGACGGACUUAAACCAGCGGUGAAAGGCUGGUGGGCGACUAGCACAUGUCAAAAUGGGAUCUGGUCUCCUAACCCCCAGUGUAUAGUGCCAAAUGCAACCUUUGAGGAGGACUAGCACACAGGGGCUUCAAUGAAGAGACCACAAUAAUCAGUAAAAUACCAAUGAAUGCAGUGAGCCACCUCGAAUCAAUCAUGCAAUCGUCAUUAAUCAAGAUUACCAGGAGGCAUUUCCUUCAGACUCAGAAGUGUUGUAUCAAUGUAAAAAUGGGUAUGCUACAGAGGAAGGAGCCACCAAAAAAUCAGCCUUCUGCAGAGCUGGAAGGUGGACUGAAGUCCCAACAUGCAGAAUUUCUAGCAGCUCUGGGUCACAUGACAGCGACACUGCAGCUUCCAUCACAACAAUUGACAGAUGUGGAGCAUUCCCUGUCGUUAAGGAUGGUGAUUUUAUCCCAGAUGGUCAACGUUCAUUAAAGUUCGAGUGUGCAGUUCAUUAUAAAUUAGUUGGUCCAGAGACAGUGGUGUGUUACAGCAACAGGCAGUGGUCUGAGCUUCCCACCUGUAGAGCUGACUACUGCUCUGUGAACACUGAAGAAUAUACCGACUUAGAAAAUAUUGGAGUCAAAUACAUAACAAAUGGUUACAAAGAGAAACUGGAUUGUGUGGAUAAGUUUUAUUUUCGUAAUUAUGCUUUGGUGGAGUGUAACGAUGGAAUACCAAAGAUAUCCCGAUGUUGUAACAACUUUCAGAUAAAUACGGGUAUCUGCUGGAAUCAUGGUGAGAUGACAAACUGAAGACAAAUAUCAGUGUGGAGGAUUUUAAGAAGAAUAAUUAUGAUCAUACUGUCACACACUGUGCUGACUUGUCUGUGUUCAAA